AUGCAUGCUGGACUCUUCAGAAUAGUCGUGGGUUUCCAAGGGAGAUUCAAGGAGGCCUUCAGGAGCCAUGGUGUAUUUAUUCUCAUCUCCCUUCCACGGGUUAAUCUGAUGAUCUGCACAGUGUUUCCUAAAGCAAGCAGAUUCUCAGUGAAGAUAUUCCUGGAAGAAAGCAGGUUGGGAAAAAGGCAAAUAAUGAAGAAAACCAUGAGCAAAUGAAUGGACAUGCAAGAAAUGGACAUGACUGAGAUGGAAGUGAACCUGAAAGGAACGUUCAGCCAGAACAGGAAAGAAAAAUGAUCACAUUUCAGUCCCAUUGGAGCCUUGAAAAUUUACCUCCCAAAAAUUGCUCUUAGAGAGAGCAAGUGAGCAAAUAAACUUCACUGUUGGCAACA
Molecule: long non-coding RNA, 392 nt
Filed under: Oryctolagus cuniculus (rabbit)
Lineage: Eukaryota; Metazoa; Chordata; Mammalia; Lagomorpha; Leporidae
Description: lncRNA (ENSOCUG00000036508.1)
Source: RNAcentral